GAGAGAGAGAGAGAGAGAGAGAGAGAGGCAGAGACACAGGCAGAGGGAGAAGCAGGCUCCAUGCACCGGGAACCCGACGUGGGAUUCGAUCCCGGGUGUCCAGGAUCUCGCCCUGGGCCAAAGGCAGGCGCCAAACCGCUGCGCCACCCAGGGAUCCUAGCCACAGUUUUUAAUCCUUUCUACUACCUUCUCUGAAGAGACAGGUAUAUUGCUUCCUACCCCAACCUUUCAUGUUGAGCUUACAAGACUUUGGGUCCUUAGUAAUGAUAACACUACUUUUCCCCCAAGGAACCCGCUCAGGCUGCUAUUUACUAAUAUUCCAAACUCAAUAAAUCUUCAUGGUACUGUGUAAAGUAGGUACAUGACUCCCUCAUUUUACAGAAGAGAAAGGGAGGAGUGAAUAACCAUCAGGACAUUUGUUGGGGCCAGAGGGGAAAAAAAUUAUGUGCUUUUUGUCUCUCAUACUUCCUACAUCUUAGCCUUGAUUUUAAAACCAAAUUAUUCUGUGAAAUCAUCUUAAACCAAUAUUCAAAUAUCCUACUAGAUGCACUCAUCAUAUGCUAAAAAAUAAGAGGAAUAUGUUCUAUUUUGUGACUUGAUUUAAAAAAACACUUUUAAUAAAAAAAAUAAAGGUCCACUUUUCUGUCAUUACUAAUUCAAUCAGGUAAAUUGGGAAGCUCUGAAUUUUUAAGAAAAGCGUCAAUAGCUUUCAGUAAGUUGUAAGAAUCUUUGAUGUGAACAUUUCUCAAUUUUGCCAUACUUUCUCUACUUAAACUCUCCCUCCUUGUUCCCCCUUUUAUACGUGUAUGCUGACCACUAUUAAUGUAAAAAGUGAGGAUGUAGAGCAGGACCUGGGGAAAAUGCCUGUAUUCUGAGCCACUCAGACAAGGCUUCCCUAGGUUGCGUGUUAAACAUGCCCAAAUGAAGUCCACAGAGCCUUGUAAGGCCCCCUUAGCUCACUGAACCAAAUCAUACAAUCCAAGACAGUUCUCCUAAGACCUAGCUGCUGCCAUGUGGCUCUUAAUGUUGGAAGGGAAGGGAAUGCAAGAGAGGGGCAACAUCUUUCUUUUCUCCUUCCCUAUACUGAAGAAUAACUACUUUCAUUACUUUCCCUGGUUCUGUCUUCAUAUUUCUAUUUAAUACUAUUCACAUGAGAUAUCAGUCUCAAACACACUGGUAAUAUCCUCAUGCAAUUUUCCAUUGUUUCUGAGAUACUGCUUCCUAGUUCCGUGGCCAUGAGGACUCCAUCUUUCUGGUCACACAAAACUGCUUGCCCAGCUGACCAUCCUGGCCACAGUUCCAGCACAUGAGAAACAGAUCUUAAGAAUUACCCCUUCUCAUUUCAAAUGUUUGCUACUGGUGAGGAGGUGCUAAUGUACCCUUGCAAACAAGUCUCUUUGUAAGAGAAAACAACAACAAGCUUAUCUGGAGGAUGCAAUGAUAAAAAAAAUCAGGACAAAUACUUAAUUUAAAGCUCUUAUUCAUUAGAAGGAAUGGCUUAGAUUGAGAGAACAAAGGUCUUGUGAAUUAAGGAAAAAAUGCCUUACAUUUACAUAGUAGCUUCCUAAGAUAUUACCAUCAUGGUGCUUUUAAAUCUGGUCACAGUUUUUAGCCUUGGCUAGUUGGGAAGGAAAUGUAGCCUGUGAAGCUACAUUGUGGGCAGCACUCAGGCAUUUGUUCUACAGUAGGCUGAUGAUGCAGACUUGUCAGGAAUUGUGAGCUGUAGGCUUUUGUUGGGAGAAUCAAACUAUUUGACUGACAGUAUCACAUUACUUUCACCCUUCCCAGGGAAUGUCAUUCAGGUAAUUGAGAACAUUAUCAAUGUUAAGUUCAUGGAUUGUAUUUAUUAAAUAUAGGAGAAUUUAAAAGAAUAUUUAUUCCCAAGGGAUAAAAUGCUAGUAGAAUCAACUAGGGUUUACUUUUAGGAGCUUAUAAACAAAAUUAAAGAAAAAUAUGGAGAAGUUUCUAGAAAAAAAGUUCUGUUUUGUCUUUAUUUUUUAAAUUUUUAAAAAUAUUUUUAAUUUAAAUUCAAUUAAUUAACAUAUGGUGCAUUAUUAGUUUCAGAGGUAGAGUUUAGUGAUUCAUCAGUUGCAUACAACACCCAAUCCCAUCCCCCAUCCCCCUCCCCUCCAACAACCCUCAGUUUGUUUCUUACAGUUAAGAAUCUCUAAGUUUGUCUCCCUC
Molecule: long non-coding RNA, 2184 nt
Filed under: Canis lupus familiaris (dog)
Lineage: Eukaryota; Metazoa; Chordata; Mammalia; Carnivora; Canidae
Description: lncRNA (ENSCAFG00845002588.1)
Source: RNAcentral